Molecule: ribosomal RNA, 429 nt
Filed under: Chloroflexota bacterium
Lineage: Bacteria; Bacillati; Chloroflexota
Description: Chloroflexi bacterium partial 16S ribosomal RNA
Rfam family: Bacterial small subunit ribosomal RNA
Source: RNAcentral
UGGGGAAUAUUGCACAAUGGGCGCGAGCCUGAUGCAGCCAUGCCGCGUGUAUGAAGAAGGCCUUCGGGUUGUAAAGUACUUUCAGCGGGGAGGAAGGGAGUAAAGUUAAUACCUUUGCUCAUUGACGUUACCCGCAGAAGAAGCACCGGCUAACUCCGUGCCAGCAGCCGCGGUAAUACGGAGGGUGCAAGCGUUAAUCGGAAUUACUGGGCGUAAAGCGCACGCAGGCGGUUUGUUAAGUCAGAUGUGAAAUCCUCGGGCUCAACCUGGGAACUGCAUCUGAUACUGGCAAGCUUGAGUCUCGUAGAGGGGGGUAGAAUUCCAGGUGUAGCGGUGAAAUGCGUAGAGAUCUGGAGGAAUACCGGUGGCGAAGGCGGCCCCCUGGACGAAGACUGACGCUCAGGUGCGAAAGCGUGGGGAGCAAACAGG